GAUGAACGCUGGCGGCGUGCUUAACACAUGCAAGUCGAACGAUGAAGCCCAGCUUGCUGGGUGGAUUAGUGGCGAACGGGUGAGUAACACGUGAGUAACCUGCCCUUAACUCUGGGAUAAGCCUGGGAAACUGGGUCUAAUACCGGAUAGGAGCGUCCACCGCAUGGUGGGUGUUGGAAAGAUUUAUCGGUUUUGGAUGGACUCGCGGCCUAUCAGCUUGUUGGUGAGGUAAUGGCUCACCAAGGCGACGACGGGUAGCCGGCCUGAGAGGGUGACCGGUCACACUGGGACUGAGACACGGCCCAGACUCCUACGGGAGGCAGCAGUGGGGAAUAUUGCACAAUGGGCGCAAGCCUGAUGCAGCGACGCCGCGUGAGGGAUGACGGCCUUCGGGUUGUAAACCUCUUUCAGUAGGGAAGAAGCGAAAGUGACGGUACCUGCAGAAGAAGCACCGGCUAACUACGUG
This 466-nucleotide ribosomal RNA is filed under the name uncultured bacterium. RNAcentral describes it as "partial 16S ribosomal RNA". It matches the Rfam family "Bacterial small subunit ribosomal RNA", at positions 28 to 507 of the family's 1533-position model. The record is from RNAcentral.